UAGUAGAUUUCGAAACAGCUGUUCGUAGAUGGUUGAAUAUGGCUACGUUGUGGAAGUUUUCUACUAGAAUUUUGCAGUUUAUAGUAAGAUCGCGUAGUGCUAAACAAUGCUUUGUAACAUUUAGAGAUAAGAAAAGUGUGGGAGUGAUAUCUGCGACAUGUAUGUGUGCGGCAGGAGGAGGAUUACUACUUUACGUUACGCAUAUUCUUGGUAAACAUAGUACUGUGCACGCCUUCAAACCGAAACAGAUGGAUGAUGAACUCGUGCGCGCUGUGAAGCUGACGUCCAGGGAGAGACGCUUCAUCAAGUUUGCGUCUGUCGAGUAUGACGGCCAGCUCUACAUGACGCCCCAAGACUUCCUGGAGUCCGUCGUGGAACAAGAACCUCGACCUCGUCUUAAACGCCGCCAGCUUUCUAACAAAGAUUUGGAUAUGAUCCGUGACUCUACCCCUGCUCUCAGCCAGGGUUCCACUCAGAUGUUUCGUAAUCUCCGAGACAAAGGCAUCGUAUCCUACACAGAGUACCUGUUUCUGCUCUCAAUCCUGACGAAGCCACAAACUGGAUUCCGUAUUGCCUUCAAUAUGUUUGAUACGGAUGGUAACCAACGUGUUGACAAGAACGAGUUCCUGGUGAUCCGUCGCUUGAUGGGAGGAAAGCUGAUGUACGACCGAGAGACUGAUGAGGCAACCCGCCAAGUUUUGAUGAAGCUGGUGGCCCGCUCAGUCCUAGUGAUUUAUCCUGACAAGAAACAAAAGCAGCAAGAAUUAGAAGCCAAGAAAAAAUCAUCGCCCACAUUUAUGGAGAAGAUAUUUAGUCAUGCUUGGAAGGGUAAGCAUGGGGUACCAGAGGUUGUGUCUAGAGAAGAGGACAAGAAGAAACAGCCCGUUGUGGAUGACUAUGUGGACGAUGAACAGGGACUGCAGAGAAAGCACAUGGUGGACACCACACUCAUUGUUCACUUCUUUGGAAAGAAGGGGAAAGCUGAACUUCGCUUUGAGGGGUUCAGAAGGUUUAUGGAGAAUCUUCAAACAGAAGUAUUGGAAUUAGAAUUUCAUGAGUUUUCUAAAGGGCAUGACACCAUUACUGAAGUUGACUUUGCCAAGAUACUACUACGCUACACUUAUCUCAACACAAAUGAAUAUGACAUGUACCUGGAUCGCCUGCUAGACAGAAUCAAGGAGGAGAAAGGAAUUACAUUUGAAGAGUUCAGAGUAUUUUGUCAAUUUCUUAAUAACCUGGAGGACUUUGCUAUUGCUAUGAGAAUGUACACACUUGCAGAUCAUCCUAUCUCCAAAGACGAAUUCAUUCGUGCAGUGAAGAUUUGCACUGGAACCAACUUGAGCCACCACCUGGUGCGUACUGUGUUCCAGAUCUUUGAUGAAGAUGGAGAUGGACAGCUGAGCUACAGAGAGUUCAUUGCAAUUAUGAAAGACAGAAUACACAGGGGCUUCAAGUCAUAUGCCAAGAAUGAAGGCUGGGAUGCUUUCAAAUCAUGUGUGAAACAAGAAAUGAAGACACCAGUGUAACAAAAAACAGUUUAGAAAGGAAUGAUGCUGGGUGAAAUUUAUGCUUUGCUUGGGGUAUUACACUAAUGUGAUAUUGUCUCCUGGUUUUACUGCCUUGAGGACCAACACACAGAUGGAUGUUUGAAGACGUCUGUAACUCCUGUUUGACCCUCACUGUUUGAUGCUUCAGUUUCUUCUUCUUCAAUGGCGUCACCGGAUAAUGAACUGUGCCGUUCACCCACUUGGUCCACGGAUUGGCUGAUAAUGGUUAUGGUGACUAGAAAAGGGACGUGAAAUUUUAAAAUGUGUCAAUGCUAAAAUUCAUCAACUAAAUGUCUGUAAAAUGAGGAAUUAGUUAACUAAUUUCAUACUUUUUUCCUCUUGUCAAAUUUCUCAAAGUAAAUAAUGUUAAAAAAUUC
Molecule: non-coding RNA, 1924 nt
Organism: Zootermopsis nevadensis
Lineage: Eukaryota; Metazoa; Arthropoda; Insecta; Blattodea; Termopsidae
Source: RefSeq, a predicted model, not a curated record